RNAcentral lists this transfer RNA (64 nucleotides) under Monomia gladiator. RNAcentral's name for it is "tRNA-Cys". It matches the Rfam family "tRNA". From Rfam's summary of the family: Transfer RNA (tRNA) molecules are approximately 80 nucleotides in length. Their secondary structure includes four short double-helical elements and three loops (D, anti-codon, and T loops). Lineage: Eukaryota; Metazoa; Arthropoda; Malacostraca; Decapoda; Portunidae. The record is from RNAcentral.
GGUUCUAUAGUAAAAUUGAUAAUAUUAGAUUGCAAAUCUGAAGAUGUGUAAGACACUAGAACUU